UUAAGUUCAGCGGGUAGUCUUACUUGAUUUGAGAUCGAGUUUUACAAGAGGCUGUUGCCAGUCCCUUGUGAAAUCCUGCAUCAGUCAGCUAAUGCGGUCAGACUCCCUUUAUGUUAGCUGCAGCAAAAGUAAUAAUCCGUUUGACGGGACUAAAUAAAUAUGCUUAUAGCUCAGGAGAAAGUCCAGCUGCACCUGCAUUU
RNAcentral lists this unclassified non-coding RNA (200 nucleotides) under Mortierella sp. RNAcentral describes it as "partial internal transcribed spacer 2". Lineage: Eukaryota; Fungi; Mortierellomycota; Mortierellomycetes; Mortierellales; Mortierellaceae. The record is from RNAcentral.